RNAcentral lists this ribosomal RNA (483 nucleotides) under uncultured bacterium. RNAcentral's name for it is "bacterial SSU rRNA". It matches the Rfam family "Bacterial small subunit ribosomal RNA", at positions 28 to 523 of the family's 1533-position model. The record is from RNAcentral.
GAUGAACGCUAGCGGCAGGCUUAAUACAUGCAAGUCAAGGGGUAGCAAUACAACCGGCGCACGGGUGAGUAACGCGUACACAACAUACCAUAUACUGGAGUAUAGCUUUGGGAAACUGAAGGUAAUCCUCCAUAACAUUGCGAGAGGGCAUCUGAUUGCAAUUAAAGUUCCGGCGGUAUAUGAUUGGUGUGCGUUUGAUUAGCUAGUUGGUAGGGUAACGGCCUACCAAGGCGACGAUCAAUAGCUGGCGUGAGAGCGCGACCAGCCACACUGGAACUGAGACACGGUCCAGACUCCUACGGGGGGCAGCAGUAGGGAAUAUUGGACAAUGGGCGAAAGCCUGAUCCAGCCAUGCCGCGUGAUAGAUGAAGGCCCUCUGGGUUGUAAAUAUCUUUUAUCUGGGAAGAAACUCCUCUAUUCUUAGAGGCCUGACGGUACCAGAGGAAUAAGCACCGGCUAACUCCGUGCCAGCAGCCGCGGUAA